Molecule: ribosomal RNA, 465 nt
Filed under: uncultured bacterium
Lineage: Bacteria
Description: partial 16S ribosomal RNA
Rfam family: Bacterial small subunit ribosomal RNA
Source: RNAcentral
GACGAACGCUGGCGGCGUGCUUAACACAUGCAAGUCGAACGCUGAACCCGCUUCGGUGGGGGAUGAGUGGCGAACGGGUGAGUAACACGUGGGCAACCUGCCCCCGGCUCUGGGAUAACUCCAAGAAAUUGGGGCUAAUACCGGAUGUGACCGCUGGCCGCAUGGUCUGGUGGUGGAAAGGGUUUCCGGCUGGGGAUGGGCCCGCGGCCUAUCAGCUUGUUGGUGGGGUAGUGGCCUACCAAGGCGACGACGGGUAGCCGGCCUGAGAGGGUGACCGGCCACACUGGGACUGAGACACGGCAGCGACUCCUACGGGAGGCAGCAGUGGGGAAUCUUGCGCAAGGGGCGGAAGCCUGACGCAGCGAGGCCGCGUGGGGGAAGACGGCCUUCGGGUUGUAAACCUCUUUCAGCAGGGACGAAGCGCAAGUGACGGUAACUGAAGAAGAAGCCCCGGCCAACUACGUG